RNAcentral lists this unclassified non-coding RNA (608 nucleotides) under Aplysia californica (California sea hare). RNAcentral describes it as "uncharacterized LOC106013085, transcript variant X1". Lineage: Eukaryota; Metazoa; Mollusca; Gastropoda; Aplysiida; Aplysiidae. The record is from RNAcentral.
UCAGUCACGUUCCUUUUAUCCAUUCGUACCUCAACCAACCAGCCAACCGACCAACUUAUAAAUCAAGAAACGAAUGAAUCUGCCAAUAAAGCCAUCACUUAUUGCUUCUCUGUAUCUAUAUCGGUUGAUAAUUAUAAUCGAACGUUCGACCAAGACAGACAGUAAUCAAUAAAUGCAUCCGCAUCUACAGGAUUGCAUCCCUCACCAGUGUUACCAGUCUACUCCGCGACCAAGUUUGGUGUGGUGGGCUACUCCAGAGCCCUGGCGCGGUCCCCAAUGUUGAACAGACAGGGAGUACGCGUGAACACCGUGUGUCCAGCAAUGAUAAAGACUCCAAAGACCAAGACGAAGUUCACCCCUGACCAACUUUCCCCGACAGCCAGCGUGGAGGAUGUGAUGGCAGAGUGGAAGAUGACCAGACUGAGGAACGGAGUGAUGACAGCCGAGUACGUUGCUCAGCAGACGAUGGACCUCAUAACAGACAGAAACAUGAAUGGCGCCAUUGUUCACUUGUCACAGAAGACAGGUAGAUCGUAUGUGGACGUGGAACAUGACUUCGGAACAGAUAUUAUGGAUAACGACCAACAAUAAAGAUGGAUUUUUGUCAA